RNAcentral lists this ribosomal RNA (601 nucleotides) under Escherichia coli. RNAcentral describes it as "bacterial SSU rRNA". It matches the Rfam family "Bacterial small subunit ribosomal RNA", at positions 1 to 591 of the family's 1533-position model. The record is from RNAcentral. Lineage: Bacteria; Pseudomonadati; Pseudomonadota; Gammaproteobacteria; Enterobacterales; Enterobacteriaceae.
AAAUUGAAGAGUUUGAUCAUGGCUCAGAUUGAACGCUGGCGGCAGGCCUAACACAUGCAAGUCGAACGGUAACAGGAAGAAGCUUGCUUCUUUGCUGACGAGUGGCGGACGGGUGAGUAAUGUCUGGGAAACUGCCUGAUGGAGGGGGAUAACUACUGGAAACGGUAGCUAAUACCGCAUAACGUCGCAAGACCAAAGAGGGGGACCUUCGGGCCUCUUGCCAUCGGAUGUGCCCAGAUGGGAUUAGCUAGUAGGUGGGGUAACGGCUCACCUAGGCGACGAUCCCUAGCUGGUCUGAGAGGAUGACCAGCCACACUGGAACUGAGACACGGUCCAGACUCCUACGGGAGGCAGCAGUGGGGAAUAUUGCACAAUGGGCGCAAGCCUGAUGCAGCCAUGCCGCGUGUAUGAAGAAGGCCUUCGGGUUGUAAAGUACUUUCAGCGGGGAGGAAGGGAGUAAAGUUAAUACCUUUACUCAUUGACGUUACCCGCAGAAGAAGCACCGGCUAACUCCGUGCCAGCAGCCGCGGUAAUACGGAGGGUGCAAGCGUUAAUCGGAAUUACUGGGCGUAAAGCGCACGCAGGCGGUUUGUUAAGUCAG